AUUCCCUUCAGUAGAACAUACACUAAAAUUGGAACGAUGUAGAGAUUAGCAUGGUCCCUGUGCAAUGAUGUCACACAAAUUUGUGAGGUGGUCCUUAUUUUU
Mastomys coucha (southern multimammate mouse) is the source of this 102-nucleotide small nuclear RNA. The record is from RefSeq and is a predicted model, not a curated record. NCBI's taxonomy places the organism in Eukaryota, Metazoa, Chordata, Mammalia, Rodentia, Muridae.